GAUGAACGCUGGCGGCGUGCCUAAUACAUGCAAGUCGAGCGAACAGACGAGGAGCUUGCUCCUUUGACGUUAGCGGCGGACGGGUGAGUAACACGUGGAUAACCUACCUAUAAGACUGGGAUAACUUCGGGAAACCGGAGCUAAUACCGGAUAACAUGUUGAACCGCAUGGUUCAACAGUGAAAGACGGUCUUGCUGUCACUUAUAGAUGGAUCCGCGCCGCAUUAGCUAGUUGGUAAGGUAACGGCUUACCAAGGCAACGAUGCGUAGCCGACCUGAGAGGGUGAUCGGCCACACUGGAACUGAGACACGGUCCAGACUCCUACGGGAGGCAGCAGUAGGGAAUCUUCCGCAAUGGGCGAAAGCCUGACGGAGCAACGCCGCGUGAGUGAAGAAGGUCUUCGGAUAGUAAAACUCUGUUAUUAGGGAAGAACAAAUGUGUAAGUAACUAUGCACGUCUUGACGGUACCUAAUCAGAAAGCCACGGCUAACUACGUG
This 497-nucleotide ribosomal RNA is filed under the name uncultured bacterium. RNAcentral describes it as "partial 16S ribosomal RNA". It matches the Rfam family "Bacterial small subunit ribosomal RNA", at positions 28 to 507 of the family's 1533-position model. The record is from RNAcentral.